This 393-nucleotide long non-coding RNA is filed under the name Homo sapiens (human). Its description in RNAcentral is "non-protein coding lnc-SOWAHC-2:1". The record is from RNAcentral. Lineage: Eukaryota; Metazoa; Chordata; Mammalia; Primates; Hominidae.
UUUCAGCCAAUCCUGAGGCAUAAGAAACAUUUUAAUUCACUGCACAUUCCAAAAGCCUUGCAGAAAGCCUUGCCAUUUAAGAACAAGCCCAAGACCCAAGCAAACGCAGGCAAGGUGCUGAAGGACAGGCAGAGACCAACCAUCAUAAGCAAGCCUCAUGAAAGGAAGGUUCCUUGCACUGCUGGAUGCUCUGAGUACAGUGUGCAGUCAGAGGGUGCAGAAGGCCAAGAAGCAGCAGCACCUGCAGAAUAAAGAGCAUUUUAAAGCACUCCUCAAGCAGAAGGAGAAGCUGAAGCAGCAAGAGGACCUCAGAAGAAGCUCUUCUGAAUUCAGGGUCAGAGGGAAAGAAGAAGCCAGAAAUCCAGUCUGAAGAGGGCUGAGGAGCAAUUGCAG